GGAGGUCCGAACCCACGAGCGUUGAAAAGCUCGGGGAUGACUUGUGGGUAGCGGUGAAAUUCCAAUCGAGCCCGGAGAUAGCUGGUUCUCCCCGAAAUAGCUUUAGGGCUAGCCUCAAGGUGAGAGAUACGGAGGUAGAGCACUGAAUGUCCUAGGGGGUAUUGCACCUACCGAAGACUAUCAAACUCCGAAUGCCGUCAUCUUAUACUUGGGAGUCAGACUGUGGGUGAUAAGAUUCAUAGUCGAAAGGGCAACAGCCCAGAUCGUCAGCUAAGGUCCCUAAAUGUAAGUUAAGUGGUAAAGGAUGUGGGAUUGCACAGACAACCAGGAUGUUGGCUUAGAAGCAGCCACUCAUUCAAAGAGUGCGUAAUAGCUCACUGGUCGAGUGAUCCUGCGCCGAAGAUUUCCGGGGCUAAAACUUACUACCGAAGCUACGGCAUCAGUAAUGAUGGGUAGGGGAGCUUCCCAUACGGGUUGAAGCAUGACCGUAAGGACAUGUGGACAGUAUGGGAGUGAGAAUGUUGGCAUGAGUAGCGAGAUGUGGGUGAGAAUCCCACAGGCCGUAAACCCAAGGUUUCCAGGGGAAGGUUCGUCCGCCCUGGGUUAGUCGGGACCUAAGCUGAGGCCGAAAGGCGUAGGGGAUGGACAACAGGUUGAUAUUCCUGUACUACCGAUAACUGUUUGAGAGAAGGGAUGACACAGUAGGAUAAGCUAAGCACACUGUUGGUUAUGUGUGCCCAAGCAUUGAGGCAGUCAAAGUAGGCAAAUCCGCUUUGAUAAUGCUGGGAUGUGAUGGGGAGCGAAAUUUAGUAGCGAAGUAGCUGAUUUCACACUGUCAAGAAAAGUCUCUAUCGAGGUUAAAGGUACCCGUACCGCAAACCGACACAGGUGGGUGAGGAGAGUAUCCUAAGGCCAGCGAGAGAACUGUUGUUAAGGAACUCGGCAAAAUGACCCCGUAACUUAGGGAUAAGGGGUGCCACCAUC
RNAcentral lists this ribosomal RNA (984 nucleotides) under Clostridioides difficile. RNAcentral describes it as "bacterial LSU rRNA". It matches the Rfam family "Bacterial large subunit ribosomal RNA", at positions 768 to 1758 of the family's 2925-position model. The record is from RNAcentral. Lineage: Bacteria; Bacillati; Bacillota; Clostridia; Peptostreptococcales; Peptostreptococcaceae.